UGAGGAAUAUUGGUCAAUGGGCGCGAGCCUGAACCAGCCAUCCCGCGUGCAGGAAGACGGCCCUAUGGGUUGUAAACUGCUUUUGUGCAGGAAGAACGUCCUGAUCGUGAUCGGGAGUGACGGUACUGCAUGAAUAAGCACCGGCUAACUCCGUGCCAGCAGCCGCGGUAAUACGGAGGGUGCAAGCGUUAUCCGGAUGUAUUGGGUUGAAAGGGUGCGUAGGCGGUAGAAUAAGUCAGUGGUGAAAAGCUGCAGCGCAACUGUAGUCCUGCCAUUGAAACUG
This 283-nucleotide ribosomal RNA is filed under the name uncultured prokaryote. RNAcentral's name for it is "partial 16S ribosomal RNA". It matches the Rfam family "Bacterial small subunit ribosomal RNA", at positions 355 to 635 of the family's 1533-position model. The record is from RNAcentral.